This 1353-nucleotide ribosomal RNA is filed under the name Triticum aestivum (bread wheat). RNAcentral's name for it is "partial small subunit ribosomal RNA". The record is from RNAcentral. Lineage: Eukaryota; Viridiplantae; Streptophyta; Magnoliopsida; Poales; Poaceae.
AUGGAAGGUCUCAAACCAGCAGUCAGAGUGGCUGUGGGCAUUCAGCAACCUCCUGAUUUAGACACGGCCUAUCAAUUGGCGCUGCUACAUGAAGAGCUGGGGACUAUUAGUCCAUCCACCAUGAUCAACUCCCAGAAUGCCCGUCGUGCAAGUGCUCUUCCACUCCCUCCUCCACCCACCAGUUCUGCUGUGCAAUCUUCUGUACAGAAAGGUCAUGAAGAAAGGAGACCUGUCGACAGUUACAGACGUACGGUUUCAGAGGAUAAAUGGGGAGCUCUGAGAACAUUUUGUAAGGCAAAGGGUCUUUGCUUCAUUUGUGGUGAGCGCUGGGGCAAGGAUCACAUAUGCAAGCAAGAAGUUCAGCUCCACGUGGUGCAAGAAAUGGUUGAGUUCUUACAAAAUUCAGACGUCAAUGACUCUGUUGCGAGUGAAAUUCAGUCUGAAGUACACAUGAUGUCAGUUUCUGCUGCUGCCUUGGGGAAAACAACUUCUAAACCAGCUAAAACCAUGCAAUUAAGAAUUCAGUUGCAAGGGCUUAAUCUGAUUUUUAUUGUGGAUUCUGGUAGUUCACAUUCAUUCUUGGAUGUUUCCUUAUCUGACAAGAUACAUGGGGUGUCACCGAUGGCCAAAGCAUUAGUUAAAAUUGCAAAGGGAGAUAUGGUGCCUUGUGCAUCUCAACUGCUGGAUGGUGUUUGGUCUUGUGCUGGACAUAAGUUUCUCACUUCUUUCAAAUUGUUUCCAUUGGGCAGUUAUGAUGGCAUUGUGGGCAUGGAUUGGCUAUCUGCACACAGUCCAAUGUGGGUGGAUUGGGAUCAUCACUGGUUAUCUUUUGUUCAUAAUGGUUCUGAAAUUACACUCCUGGGCACUACUGCGUUACUACCUGAGAUCACAAUGAUAGAAGUUUGUUCUUUACUGACAACUCCAGAUUUACCUAUUCCUCCAGAAGUACAGUUGAUACUAGAUGAAUAUAAACAUGUGUUUGAGCCCCCUACUGGCCUUCCCCCCAGACGACCGUACGAUCACACCAUUCCUCUGUUACCUAGUGCCACCCCAGUAUCUAUGCGGCCCUACAGGUUACCUCCUCUUCUGAAAACAGAGCUCGAGAAGCAAAUUAAGGAGAUGCUUGCUAGUGGUGUCAUCCGCCUAAGCAACAGCCCUUUUUCUUCACCACUCCUUAUGGUCAAGAAGAAGGACGAAUCUUGGCGUCCUGUGAUUGAUUAUCGCCACCUUAAUGCAAUGACGCAGAAGAGCAAGUUUCCAAUUCCUGUGAUUGACGAGCUUUUGGAUGAACUGCAGGUGCCAGUUGGUUUACUAAACUUGACUUGCGCUCUGGUUACCAUCAGAUCCGCUUAG